GGGCGCAUGGCCUAAUGGUAAGGCGUCAGAUUUCGGUUCCAGCUACGGUUAUACUGUUCUCUGAAGAUUGCAGGUUCGAUCCCUGCUGUGCUCG
Molecule: non-coding RNA, 94 nt
Organism: Hypoxylon sp. NC0597
Lineage: Eukaryota; Fungi; Ascomycota; Sordariomycetes; Xylariales; Hypoxylaceae
Source: the annotation of a GenBank genome assembly